UUUUUACCCUGUGUAAGGAAGCAUACUGGACCAGUUUCAGUCCGGAUUAGGGCUACUCAAGAGCACAGAGAAUCUUUAUAAUGAAGUACUCUUGGCUGUCCCUGGUAGACCCACCAUUGAAUGGCUGAUAAUAUCAGGUGACCCAUUCUGGGUACCAACUACUGAGGAGGAAUAUUUGCACUUUGGGGAAAAGGCAGACUCUGAGAACCAGGCCCGCAAGUACAUGAAUGCAGUGAGAAAGCGAAAAGGACUUUAUGUAGAAGAAAAAAUCGUGGAGCAUGCUGAGAAGCAAAGAACUCUCAGUAGAAAUAAGUAACUGCCUCUACUUUCAGUUCUACACUAACUCAGCUAAGUGCAGGUGGAUUAUUUUCUGUACAGCAAAUUCAAAAUGUCAUCUUGGAUUUGUGGUUUUACACAAGAUUUCUUAUAUGCUGUAAUUUGUCUGUGGCUUCAGUUUUAAUAAACGUGAGCCUUUCCAACCUUUUAUAGAGAGACUACAGUUUGUGUAAUUUAUUUGAAUGAGAUGUAACAAGAAAUUCAAUGGAAUUACUCUCUCCAAUUUUAAGACUCUACCCCAGCUGCUGUCCUAGGAUUGCAAGUUAUUUGCUUAAACUUUCUUUCUAAUUUACCUGAUGUAAUCAAAAUUAGACCUGGUCCAGUUAUUCAUUGUAAAUAAAUUAGGCAAAGACUUUAGCUCUUUUCUUCUGUUCUUGACUCUGUUGCAAACUGAUCCUGAUUUCUCUUAAUGCAUUUAUUGUUUACAAGUAUUUGCCAUAACUACACAUUUCAGCCUGCGUGAUGUUCAUGAACUGUUCACUCUGCACUAUUCCUGGUGUGUGAGUUGUCAUCUAAAUCAUAUGGUAUUCUUUCUGCUCCAGACUGGAUUAUUUAAACUCUUCCAAGAGGAGAGAGAAGAAUAGCAAAUAGGAAAAAGUGAAUGCUCCUGUUAGCACUUCUUUACCCCUGUUACUCACUUGAAUACUAUUGUUUGUACAAAGAACAGCUAUUCACCAAAUAUUUGUGUCAACAAAACCUCAUUCAUAUACAUGUUUGUAAAUUGUCGUAGUUUACCAGCACUCUUUUUGCAGCUAAUCACAAUAAAGUUCCCCAGUUCAUUAGCCUGUUUUGCAGAUAACUUAAUAAUUCUUAAGUUAUGUGUUCUGAAUGACCCAUGUUGACAGGGAAAACAAUUAUAAAGUAGGCUUUGUUUUAAAAAAACAAGGGUUUUUUUGGCAGGGGGAAAAUAUUCAAAAUCAGAUUUUUCAGUUUUUAACUACUGUAACCAGUUGAACUUUGAGAUCAGUACAAGGUGACAGACUUGCCAAUGUCACCUGUUCUUAACUCCAAAAAUUGCAAACAAAUUUUGAGCUGAUGUGAACGCACUGGCUUGGUAGUGUUGUUUGAGCUUCCUCAUAGCUCUGCUCAAAUACCUCAACCUUUACCGGUUACACCCUUGUUAUGGUGUUUCUCUCAACUGUUAUUAUUACUAUUUAUUUAUUUGUAUUGCAAUAUCAACUAGGAGCCUGUCAUGGAGUAGGGUUCCCUCGUGCUAGGUUCUGUAUAAAGACAUAGCAAAAAAAUGGUCCCUGGGCCCACCUUGAACAACUGCUGUUUGUGCUGACCACCGAAUUCAUUGUAAUUUGUGAUUUAAUUUGGAUUUAGAUUCUGCUUUCUGGAGGUGAAAGGCUGGUGCAUUAAUGUACCACAUCACCUAGAGCCAAACACGAUAAAUACUCUAUUAAUCUGAAAUUUCAGCUCUGUUGGAUUUACAAGCUGCUUCCAUUCCACAGCAAAAGAUUCCCACCACUGUUCAAAAGUCCUAAUAUUUUGCGACAGUGACUACAUGAAACUCUGCUUGGUCUUAUUUUAUACUGCUCCUCAGCGUAGAUCCAUCAAAAAUCUCAAAUAAUGAAUUUUAGGCUGCUAGUCUCUCUGAACUAUUAGCUUGAGAUGUGCACACUCUCAUUCAUUUAUACAUACUCACACUUACAAUAAAAUAAUUUCUACUCACUCAGCCUUAGAGUAGAAAAUAUUUCAAACACAGUGAACCUUGAAUCCAGUGAAGGUGACUCCCCUUAGGAAACUAUACAAGAUGUUUUGGUAUUUGAUUCAGGCAUCUGUGUGGUAGUCAAGAGGCUCUAAUAUGGGUCAGAACUAAAUUAACAUGAAAAGAAAUUCUUCAGUGCCAUAACUUGCUGUUGAACGAAAUAGAAAGCUGAAAAGAGGAGGGAAAACAUACUACAUAAGGUAUCCACUCAUUUAAUUGUUAAGUGUUUAGAACUCUGCAGCCAAGGGGAGACAAGUAUUGUGUAUUCAGGAGGAUUUAAGGCUGACUAAUCCAGAUAAGUAUCUUUGGAAGGCUGUUGAUAUUUCAUAAAGCUGAAGGGGGAUAAGUUCUUUAGAGUCUUCUGCCAACUAUUUUUAGAACCUUACUGCAAAUAGUGAAGAAGAGGGUAGUAUGUGUCAGUUUCAAACAACCAUAAAACCAUAGUUGUCAAGGUUAUUUUCUUCCCAGAGUAUCUCCACUUUUUUAAUACGCUACUACCGGGCACAAUUCCUUUAGCACUUACCUGGCAUUUCCAUGUAUAAAUUCUGAGUGGCAAUUAGAGAGAGUAGUCAGAAGUAAUUUAUACAGCCAAUGCUCCCUAAGGUAAAGACAACUGUUACUUGUUGCACAAGUGUGUAAUUGAUGUAAUGUUUAACUUUUACUGAAAUAGUAACCCUUUUUCUUUCCCAACCUCUUUGCUUUCAUUAUAGAAAUAUAAUGUUUCACCUUAAGAUUUGAUUGAAACUUCAUCCAAGCAGAUGAAACAUUGCCCUCUCUAGAAGGUUGAUCCAUAAAUUAUUUGUCUUCUGAGCAGUCCCUACAUGAGAGUUGGGUGGGUAAAUCCUCUCAUUUUGCCCAUGUUCAGCAACUCUUCAGGUGUGAUUCUAGAAUAUUUCAAUGUUUUUGAGCUAUUCAACUUGAAUAACCAGGGAGAGGCUGUUUAAAUAUUUUAUUUUGCAGUAAUUUUCAUAUUUUGCCAUGGUCUGUCUUCAGGUGCAUCAAAAAAUAGGUAGCAUAAGGAUAAUGUAAGAUGCUGCUAUACUGCAUGUUUGUAACUGAAUAAAGUUGAGUAACUUUCUUGGACACCUGCUCAAUCUAAAUAGUUUUUAAAUAAAAAUGUAUUGAAACAAGUAACCUGAGAAAAUGUAACUAACCUGGAAACACUCUAGAAACUUUAUCUAGGAUCUGUUUUCUUUAGUAACAGCCACUGGUGGGAGGAGAAUCUAAUUACCUAUGAAGCAUGAAUCUCAAACCACACUUCUUUUUUUGUUCCAAAAGCAACUCCGUGGAGCAGUUUUUCCCUACUUAUUAUAUGCAUAUGACAAUAUGACAGAGUUUUGGAAACUCUCUGCUAAGCGUGACAAAUAACUUGCUGAUGAAGCAAACUAUGCAGCACUUACCUUUAGGAGGUCAGGUGACUGACUCUUCAGAAGAAAAAGUCAGUGUUGCUUCAUGAAUUGACUAACAGAAGUAGCUGCAUACAUGACAGCUGAAGAUGCACUUUCCCUGGGGACUAAGCGCAGUAUGUUCAUGACAAGUGCAGCUAUCGCUGGUUGGGGGCUUGAAAGAUGAUCUUGUUUCUGAACCCAAGACUUCUCAUUCGUGUCUCAUCGGUGCAGCCUGGACCCCUGAACAAACCCAUAAUAGACUAUUGCUAUGUCCCGUGAAGACCAUUCUGCUUUCUGGGCCAGUGAAGACCAGGCCUAUAGAAGACAAGAAUUGCAAUAGCUGCACAGCUGUAUGAACGUUCUCUGUUAGCUGGCAGUUGCACUUGAGGUCUGCAUAUCACAAUCCAAGCCAAAGAGAAAGUGCUUUAGUUGCAUUUGGCAGAGGGGAACUGAGGAGCUAUAGAGAUGAGAGAAUUGACAGCUGCCAAAAUGAUGGAGUGGACUUAGCUUUUCCUCUAAAGCCUGCAGGUGACAGACUCUGCUGGCCAAAGCAAAACAACAUUAUGUAUUGAGUCAUAACUGACUGAAAAACUUGAAAACAGCUACAUCUUUCAAACAUGGUAUAAAGAGCAUGUCGUUUUCAGGUAGGCUC
Non-coding RNA from Chelonoidis abingdonii (Abingdon island giant tortoise), 4087 nucleotides. NCBI's taxonomy places the organism in Eukaryota, Metazoa, Chordata, Testudines, Testudinidae. The record is from RefSeq and is a predicted model, not a curated record.